GCGUGCGUGCGUGGGCGGUGCGCGGCGCGCGGGCCGUCCUCUCGCACACGCAGCCUUGGAGGCGGGUGUCUGACCCUUGGUCUACCGCUUGCUGAGGCCCCUUGCCCCUCGGGUCAGAGGCGCUUUUGUGCUCCGGUUCUUAGCCUUCUCUCGGUGCCCCGGCGACAGAAAGAUGACACAGAGACAUAGAGAGGGAAAGGCCCUGAGACAUGGAGAAGUCGACACCCAGUUACCACCAAGAAGUGAAGUCCCAGACACAUGUACCUGGAGAACCCAUCCCAGCUGAGGGACCAGUCAUUGAGGUAAGAAGCCACCUAGGUUGUCCCAGCCAUCUGAGCUGUUCCUCAUUACCUGGAACAGAGGUGGUUUUUGCUGCAGUGUCCUACAGGGGCUGUGUAGAAUGAGGUGGGGAUGGAAGACAUGGCCCUACCCUCUGGCAAGAACCCAGUCAGAUGGAGGUGGCUUACACGAAGCUAUGCCCUGGCUUCAGGAAGCACUGCUCUCCCUACUCCCCCAGGCCAGAAAUGGAACCAGACUUUCCCUUCUUUCUUCACAGCAAAACUGAGGCCAGGCUGUGAAGUUUCACAUAAUUUUACGAAUACUCAGAGGUAAGAGAAAAUGGUUUGCGUCCACAGGGCAGCAAUAUGGCUGCCCUAGAACCUUGCUACAGCAAAUGUUUUCCUCUUUAAUCUACUCCCUUCUCUGGUUCUCUUUCCUUAGCCAUGUUUUGCUCAAAUGAUCUUGCCUUAAAAAAAACGAAAUCUGGGACGCCUGAGUGGCUCAGUCGGUUAAGCGUCCGACCUCCACUCAGGUCAUGAUCUAGCAGUUCGUGAGUUCGAGCUCCAGGUCAGGCUCUGUGCUGACAGCUCAGAGCCUGGAGCCUGCUUCAGAUUCUUUGUCUCCCUUUCUCUGCCCCUGCCCCGCUCACACUCUGUCUCUCUCUAUCUCAAAAAUGAAUAAACGCUAAAAAAAUUUUUUUUAAUAAAAAACAAACAAAAUCUUACCUUGACUAUGCAGGGAAAUACUGCAAUCUUCUUUCUCCUUUACUGUUGUCAAAGAGUCUCCUGCACUUUAUACUUUUGCAUGGUGGAAUUAAAGAUGGCUACAAAUUGUUUUGCACUCCUUCCAUGGAAAGAUGGGGACUAAUUCCCCCAACUCCUUGAAUCUGGGCUGGUCUUAGUGUUUGUUGCACCAAUAGACUGUGGUGGAAGUGAAAUACUGAAACUUCUGAGUCAAGGUCCAAGAAGUUUUGCUGCUUCUUUCUGAGUGCCUUCGAACACUUGCUCUGAGGAAAUCCAGCUGCCAUAAAAGAAGCCCAGCUAAUCUGAUACUGCUAUAUUGCAAGGAAGCAGCCGCAGCCAUUCCGGACCCUAGCCAUUCGGUUCUUCCCAGUUAAGACCCCAGACACUAAUGAAGCAGAGGGGGUGCCACCUCUGCUAACCCACCCAAACCGCGGAUACAUGAACAAAGUAAAUAAAUGUACUUCUCUAAGCCACUAAGUUUGGGGAUGGUUUGUUUUAGGACUGCAAUAAAUUCCCAAAAUACUCUAACUUCCUGCCUCCAAAGAUAAGAAUAAGUCUUUAAGGUAAACUUGAUUAACAAUGGCUGUAUAAUUGUAUAUACAUAUAGGAUGCACAAUGAGUCAUUUAUAUAUAAUACACAGAGGGUUCUGAUCGUUGGGUCAUUCUUCCUGAAAAGGGUCAUUGCAGCUCCAGAAGCAUGUCUGCUGGACUCCUUACACCUUACCACCAACACUCUAUGACUGUUCUAUCUGAAAUCCCACACCAUCUUUUUCUCCACUAGUCCUUUCAAGGUGGCCACUUCCAGGACCUAGAA
This is a long non-coding RNA of Neofelis nebulosa (Clouded leopard), 1836 nucleotides long. RefSeq lists it as uncharacterized. The transcript has 3 exons. Lineage: Eukaryota; Metazoa; Chordata; Mammalia; Carnivora; Felidae. The record is from RefSeq and is a predicted model, not a curated record.